GGGGGCGCCCAGGCGCCAUCAACUCGCUGUUUUCACCAAUUGCCCACGCUCAGGCGCCCCUGGGGGGCACCCAGGCGCCAUCAACUCGCUGUUUUCAGCAAUUUGUCACGCUUGGGNGCCCUAGAGGGGGGCGCUGGGCGCGUCCUGUUUUGCUGAGUUGGCACCCUAGAACUAUAAAUAGCACACAGUUUUCGAGGGCAAGGGACUCUUGGCGGCUGAAGCUUGGGAGCAUCGUUUUGGACCUUUUGGAGCAAGUUUUGGGCUGUGGGAACUCACCCAUCUUCUUCCUUGGGUCUUCUUCUUCACCAUUUUCAUUCCAUUGUAAGCUCAAGCUCUCCAUUAAUGGAGAGCUAAGUUCAUUAUUGUUGGAGAGUGAUGUAAACUAGGAACUUCUUGUAAAUGCACUUGAGUUUAAAUGAAAAAUACUUUAUUCAUUACUUNUUGGUGUUUUUGCCUUUCUCUUAAUGCUGGUUAUGACUUGAUCAACCAUAGCUUGAUUGUGGGGUUUACUUAAGGUUGGGAAACUUUGGGUAAAACUUGAACUAGGCUAAACACCUAAGGGAAAUAGUGUCUAGGGAUAGAACUAGGACCUUUAGUUGUCAUUAACUUCUUUUCUUAAUGCGGGUGAAUUUGNUGGAUUACCAAGGGAUUGGGAUUUAACAAAUGAACCUAGGCUAACUCACCAAGGGAUUGGGUUUUAGUAAAUUAGCUAGUUGGCAAGAACAAGUUAUUAAUGAAGGGUGUUGUAGUGCAUUUGCAUAGCAAGGAACUAGUUGAAAUCAUUCUCCAACAUGUUGAUUCCACAUAGUUAUCAAUCAUUUUCAUUUUCACUAGUUUUGGCCCCAAUUAGUUCAAAUUUUACUUAUGCAUAAAAUUUACUUUCAUUGCAUUAUACCAACCAAAAAUUGGAACCAUUCUUUAGCUUGAGUCAGUUAGUAAUUAUACGAGUGUAGAGUAAUAUCGAAGUCUCUAGGGAAACGAUUUCCGGUCUUACCGGCUUUANUACUUNCACGACUUGGUAUACUUGCCAAAGUCUUAACAAGUUUUUGGCGCCGUUGCCGGGGANUUCGGUUUAAUUACUUUACGUUGUGUGAUUUCUAACCUAUUUAAGCUUUACUCUUACAUUCUUUUUUAUUUUUAAAUAAAUUUUACUCUCAUCAUUUGUGGGCUAACUUGGUGCUCUAGUACUAUUGGCUCUAGUGUAUGCAGGGCACAAUCCGUACUAGGAGCACACGAUCUUCUGAACCUCUCCUUUUAGAUCUUGAAGUUGAAAAGACAGCCCGACGAAACAACAGCAGAAGAAGAAGGAGAAAUCGGGCGUCUAGAGAAGCAUCUCCAGCUCCUGGGACCACUGAACAACUUAUUGUGCCUACAGCUGAGUAGGAAGUGGAACAAAUGGCUGGAAAUUUGAAUGGUGAUGGUGAUGGGCAAGAUAGACGCACUCUGGAGGAUUUCAAUACCUUUUCAGGGUCGUUUCAGUUUAACAGUAUCGCUAGGCCACAAAUCAAUGCACCAAACAUGGAGGUGAAGCCUGCUCUUAUUCAUCUGGUGCAAGGCAAGCAAUUUCAUGGCCUAGCACAUGAAGAUCCAUUCAAACACAUCACCGGUUUCUUGGAGAUNUGCAACACGGUGAAGCUUCAAGGUGUUCCAGAUGACUUCAUAAGGCUUAGCCUCUUCCCCUUCUCUCUUGAAGGCAAUGCCAAGGAGUGGCUCACUUCAUUUCCUGAAAACAGCAUCACUUCGUGGGAUGAUUUGGUGGCCAAGUUUUGCAACAAAUACUUCCCUCAAUCCAAAGUCACAAAAGGGAAGCAAGAGAUCUCAUCAUUCCAGCAGGGAUUUAAUGAGACAUUGGGUCAAGCUUGGGAAAGAUUCAAGGGGCUACUAAGGAAAACACCCACUCACGGGUUUGAUGAGCCCACAAUCCUGAAUGUGUUCUUGACAGGACUUGAUUCCCAAACUAAGUUGAUGUUGGAUGCCUCAUCUUGCGGAAACAUCCGUCGGAAGACUCCACAAGAAGCCCGGGUGCUCAUUGAAAAUAUGGCCGCUAAUGAUAAUGAAGCGCAAAAUGAGAGGGGGCAACAAAGAGGUGUCCUACAACUCCANUCUUAAUGCGGGUGAAUUUGGUGGAUUACCAAGGGAUUGGGAUUUAACAAAUGAACCUAGGCUAACUCACCAAGGGAUUGGGUUUUAGUAAAUUAGCUAGUUGGCAAGAACAAGUUAUUAAUGAAGGGUGUUGUAGUGCAUUUGCAUAGCAAGGAACUAGUUGAAAUCAUUCUCCAACAUGUUGAUUCCACAUAGUUAUCAAUCAUUUUCAUUUUCACUAGUUUUGGCCCCAAUUAGUUCAAAUUUUACUUAUGCAUAAAAUUUACUUUCAUUGCAUUAUACCAACCAAAAAUUGGAACCAUUCUUUAGCUUGAGUCAGUUAGUAAUUAUACGAGUGUAGAGUAAUAUCGAAGUCUCUAGGGAAACGAUUUCCGGUCUUACCGGCUUUAUUACUUGCACGACUUGGUAUACUUGCCAAAGUCUUAACAGGGG
RNAcentral lists this long non-coding RNA (2535 nucleotides) under Vigna radiata. RNAcentral describes it as "long non-coding RNA (VRAD_LNC010474)". The record is from RNAcentral. Lineage: Eukaryota; Viridiplantae; Streptophyta; Magnoliopsida; Fabales; Fabaceae.